GAUCCGGUGACCUAGUGGUUAGAGCGUCUGUCUCGGAUGCUGGAGGACAUGGGUUCGAUCCCCAGUCGAGUCA
Potamilus streckersoni is the source of this 73-nucleotide non-coding RNA. NCBI's taxonomy places the organism in Eukaryota, Metazoa, Mollusca, Bivalvia, Unionida, Unionidae. The record is from the annotation of a GenBank genome assembly.